GACGAACGCUGGCGGCGUGCUUAAUACAUGCAAGUCAACUUGACUUUAGAUAGCAAUAUCGAAAAGUAGGGUGGCGCACGGGUGCGUAACGCGUAGGUAAUCUGCCCUGAGGUCUGACAUAACCCGUCGAAAGGCGGGCUAACAUCAGAUGAUAUAUAAUCACGACAUCGUGGAAAUAUCAAAUCUUCGGAGCCUUGGGAUGAGCCUGCGUCUGAUUAGGUAGUUGGCGGAGUAAUAGCCCACCAAGCCUACGAUCAGUAGCUGGUCUGAGAGGAUGAUCAGCCACACUGGAACUGAGACACGGUCCAGACUCCUACGGGAGGCAGCAGUAAGGAAUAUUGCUCAAUGGGGGAAACCCUGAAGCAGCAACGCCGCGUGAAGGAUGAAAUACUUUUGUAUGUAAACUUCUGUAAGAUGGGAAAAAUAUUUCUCCUCGGGAGAAUUGAUUGUACCAUCAGAGUAAG
This 464-nucleotide ribosomal RNA is filed under the name uncultured bacterium. RNAcentral describes it as "bacterial SSU rRNA". It matches the Rfam family "Bacterial small subunit ribosomal RNA", at positions 28 to 490 of the family's 1533-position model. The record is from RNAcentral.